UCCGUAGGUGAACCUGCGGAAGGAUCAUUAAUGAAUUACAACUUGAUAGGUUGUAGCUGGUUCCUCUGGAGCAUGUGCACGCCUGUCUUGGUUCUAUUCAUCCACCUGUGCACCUUCUGUAGUCUCUGAGGUUUGAUAGUAGCUGAUUAUCGGUCGAAAAGGCCGGAUUAAGAGGAUUGCAUGUGUGCUGUGGAGCCCAUGGCUGUCCUCCGCAACUUGGCUGCGAGCCUUCCUCAGAGUCUAUGUUUUUCUUCACAAACCAUGUAUAAUGCAGAAUGUAUUUGACUAGGACUUUGUGCCUAUAAAACUCUAUACAACUUUCAGCAACGGAUCUCUUGGCUCUCGCAUCGAUGAAGAACGCAGCGAAAUGCGAUAAGUAAUGUGAAUUGCAGAAUUCAGUGAAUCAUCGAAUCUUUGAACGCACCUUGCGCUCCUUGGUAUUCCGAGGAGCAUGCCUGUUUGAGUGUCAUUAAAUUCUCAACCCUUCUAGCUUUUGCGAGCUAUGAUGGGGCUUGGAAAUUGGGAGUUUGCGGGCCUUAUAAGGGUCAGCUCUCCUGAAAUGCAUUAGCGGAACCGUUUGCAGUCCCGUCACUAGUGUGAUAAUUAUCUACGCUGUGAUGAUUGCUCUCUAGUUUGUUCAGCUGCUAAUCGUCCAUUACCGGACAAUACAUAAUGAACCUCUUGACCUCAAAUCAGGUANGAUUACCCGCUGAACUUAAGCAUAUCAAUAAGCGGAGGA
Molecule: ribosomal RNA, 739 nt
Filed under: uncultured Basidiomycota
Lineage: Eukaryota; Fungi; Basidiomycota
Description: eukaryotic LSU rRNA
Rfam family: 5.8S ribosomal RNA (bases 316-469)
Source: RNAcentral